This is a long non-coding RNA of Cyprinus carpio carpio, 1750 nucleotides long. The record is from Ensembl. Lineage: Eukaryota; Metazoa; Chordata; Actinopteri; Cypriniformes; Cyprinidae.
UAAGAACCUUAAAAUUAAGCUUCACACAGUAAUCUGUGAUGCCCCUGCACGGGCCUUUGUGAAAAAGACAAAGGCCCAUAAUGCUUAUCAUGGGUGUGAUAAGUGCCUACACCCAGGGCACUACCAGAACCGGCGUAUGACGUUCCCUGGAUCAGAACACCCCCAGAGAACUGACAUCUCAUUUAACCUGAUGGUUGAUGAACUACACCACCACGAGGGGCCACAUCCAUUUAAAAAUGUGAAGGUUGGCAUGGUAUCGCAGUUUCCCUUGGAUUAUAUGCAUCUAGUGUGUUUGGGCAUCGUAAGGAAACUGCUCCAGACCUGGCUCCGGGGUCCGUUAACAGUAAGACUGCCGGCAAUAAUAGUAGACAGGAUGUCAGGCAAACUCCAGUCAAUGAGGCCCUACGUGCCAGUUGAGUUUGCCAGGAGACCACGGUCGCUUAGGGAGUUGGACCGUUGGAAGGCGACUGAAUUCCGUCAGUUCUUACUGUACACUGGCCCAGUGGUGCUGGCAGGAUUCCUGGACCGGAACAUGUACCACAAUUUCAUGCUCCUGUCAACUGCUAUAUCUAUUUUGGUAAGCCCUGAACAUCUCAACCUUGCUGAUUAUGCUGGACAAAUGCUAAAAUCUUUUGUAAACCAUUUUGGUGAGCUGUAUGGGAAAGACCAGAUUGUGUACAAUGUCCACUGUCUGGUUCACCUGGCAGACGAGGUGAAGAGGCAUGGCUGUCUGGACUCUUUUUCAGCAUUCCCAUAUGAGAACCACCUCGGGAAAAUAAAAAAACUCAUUAGAAAACCAGAGUUCCCUUUAGCUCAACUCAUUCGGCGCCUUUCGGAGGUUACAGCUACCAAAUUGGAUGCUGAUGCAGACAUUUCACUGAAAAGGGAGCAUUUUGUGGGCCCAAUUGUUGUUGGCAUGGGAGUUAAUGCGCAAUAUGGGGAAAUGCGAGGUGAAAGGUGGACCAUCAAAUUAACAACAGGGGACAACAUGUUUCUGGUGGGGGAUAAAGUCUGCCUUAUCAAAAACAUUAUCCAAAAUGAUAAUGGUGUGUACGCUAUUUACACUGAAUUUUCCCGGCAGUCUCCAUUCUAUACCUACCCCUUCAACUCUGACAGAAUGAACAUAUUUGUUGUAAAUUAUGCAUCUGACGAGCUGAAGUCAGUUGAGGUGUCAGCGCUGCGACAGAAAUGUGUAGCCUUGCCAUACAGGGAUGGUUUCGUGGCCAUACCCCUCCUCCACUAAAUGGAAAAAAACAAAGAAAAAAAAUCCAAUCAAUCAGUUUAAACAAUCAGUUCAAGUUAAAAACUCUAAAAAUAUAGUUGACUACUGACUUCUGACUAUGACUUCCAUUACUCUGGAUGAAAAUUUGCUGAUGCCUUUUCAUCUAAUUGAAUUUCAAGCGAGCGAGGACAUCGCUGUUGUGCCAAUUGACUGGUAUGAUGACGGGAUGGUGUACUGGCCCAGCUUUAAGAGCACUGAGCGUGUGAAAAGGGCAGCUGCUAACGAGGAGAAGCAUGAGCCAAACUGGCCAAGAUAUGAUGUAAAGGUUGUCAGAACUUGUGGUAUGCCAAUUCAUAAAAUUCUUGUUUAAAAAUAAUUUAAUGGUUGCUUCUCCUUCUGCUUGGAAUAACGUAUUAUUUCUAUGUUCUGAAAAUGCACAUAAAAUUAAUUGUCUUUGCCUUGCAUUGUUUAAAAUAUUCCAUUUAUAUCUAUAGUAAUAAUUAUUAUUAUCAUCGUGUUCUGUGCAGC